CAGGAGUAUAAUGGUGAGGUUAUAUGGGGUUAGGUUUCCAGGAGUAUAAUGGUGAGGUUAUGUGGGGUUAGGUUUCCAGGAGUAUAAUGGUGAGGUUAUGUGGGGUUAGGUUUCCAGGAGUAUAGUGGUGAGGUUAUAUGGGGUUAGGUUUCCAGGAGUAUAAUGGUGAGGUUAUGUGGGGUUAGGUUUCCAGGAGUAUAUUGGUGAGGUUAUGUGGGGUUAGGUUUCCAGGAGUAUAUUGG
Long non-coding RNA from Eriocheir sinensis (Chinese mitten crab), 242 nucleotides. RefSeq lists it as uncharacterized. Lineage: Eukaryota; Metazoa; Arthropoda; Malacostraca; Decapoda; Varunidae. The transcript has 3 exons. The record is from RefSeq and is a predicted model, not a curated record.